Molecule: ribosomal RNA, 906 nt
Filed under: Platychora ulmi
Lineage: Eukaryota; Fungi; Ascomycota; Dothideomycetes; Pleosporales; Didymellaceae
Description: eukaryotic LSU rRNA
Rfam family: Eukaryotic large subunit ribosomal RNA
Source: RNAcentral
UUUUGUACCCCGGUGAACUUAAGCAUAUCAAUAAGCGGAGGAAAAGAAACCAACAGGGAUUGCCUUUAGUAACGGCGAGUGAAGCGGCAUCAGCUCAAAUUUGAAAUCUGGCUCUUUCAGGGUCCGAGUUGUAAUUUGCAGAGGGCGCUUUGGCGUUGGCAGCGGUCCAAGUUCCUUGGAACAGGACGUCACAGAGGGUGAGAAUCCCGUACGUGGUCGCUGGCCUUCGCCGUGUAAAGCCCCUUCGACGAGUCGAGUUGUUUGGGAAUGCAGCUCUAAAUGGGAGGUAAAUUUCUUCUAAAGCUAAAUACUGGCCAGAGACCGAUAGCGCACAAGUAGAGUGAUCGAAAGAUGAAAAGCACUUUGGAAAGAGAGUCAAAUAGCACGUGAAAUUGUUGAAAGGGAAGCGCUUGCAGCCAGACUUGCCUGUAGUUGCUCAUCCGGGCUUUUGCCCGGUGCACUCUUCUGCGGGCAGGCCAGCAUCAGUCUGGGCGGUUGGAUAAAGGCCUCUGUCAUGUACCUCCUUUCGGGGAGGCCUUAUAGGGGAGGCGACAUGCAACCAGCCUGGACUGAGGUCCGCGCAUCUGCUAGGAUGCUGGCGUAAUGGCUGUAAGCGGCCCGUCUUGAAACACGGACCAAGGAGUCUAACAUCUAUGCGAGUGUUUGGGUGUCAAGCCCGAACGCGUAAUGAAAGUGAACGGAGGUGGGAUCCCUUUAGGGUGCACCAUCGACCGAUCCUGAUGUCUUCGGAUGGAUUUGAGUAAGAGCAUGGCUGUUGGGACCCGAAAGAUGGUGAACUAUGCUUGAAUAGGGUGAAGCCAGAGGAAACUCUGGUGGAGGCUCGCAGCGGUUCUGACGUGCAAAUCGAUCGUCAAAUUUGGGCAUAGGGCCGAAAAGACUUAAUCG